UACGAAGGGAGCUAGCGUUGUUCGGAAUCACUGGGCGUAAAGCGCACGUAGGCGGAUGUGUCAGUCAGGGGUGAAAUCCCGGAGCUCAACUCCAGAACUGCCUUUGAUACUGAGGAUCUUGAGUCCGGGAGAGGUGAGUGGAACUCCGAGUGUAGAGGUGAAAUUCGUAGAUAUUCGGAAGAACACCAGUGGCGAAGGCGGCUCACUGGCCCGGUACUGACGCUGAGGUGCGAAAGCGUGGGGAGCAAACAGG
This 253-nucleotide ribosomal RNA is filed under the name uncultured bacterium. Its description in RNAcentral is "partial 16S ribosomal RNA". It matches the Rfam family "Bacterial small subunit ribosomal RNA", at positions 524 to 776 of the family's 1533-position model. The record is from RNAcentral.